Molecule: long non-coding RNA, 982 nt
Filed under: Hordeum vulgare
Lineage: Eukaryota; Viridiplantae; Streptophyta; Magnoliopsida; Poales; Poaceae
Description: long non-coding RNA (HVUL_LNC017981)
Source: RNAcentral
AUGCUGCUAUGGAGCAUCGUCGGACCACCGGUGCUUCGAUGAAGCGUCUCCCUUGCUGCUAUGGAGCAUCGCCAGACCACCGGUGAUGCGACGGCUGAGCUGCAACGCAACACCGAUGGCGAAGGUGCGAUACUGCGUGCAUGGACCUCGACGUCAUCGGCGGCGUGGUAGAGCUGCGAUGCAGCACGUGUACUGCUGCGAUGGUGCAUGGACACGAGCUGCACAUGCUGCUAUGCCGGACCACCGGUGCNUGCUAUGGAGCAUCGCUAGACCACCGGUGCUUCAAUGAAGCGGCUCCCCUGCUGCUAUGGAGCAUCGCCGGACCACCGAUGCUUCGAUGCAGCACUCGCCGGAGUUGUUGUCAGAAAUGCAGCUGCAAUGAAGCAUGGCCGGAGUUGCGACGGGCCGCCAGCGCCGCGUUGAAGCUCUGUCGGCGCCGCGUUGGAGUGCGGCCUCACCAGAGUUGGCGGCUGCAAUGGAGCACCCCGUGCUGUUGUUGCUGUCGAGCAUCCAUCCCCGUGCUGCUGUCAAAGAUCCAUCCUCGUGUUGCUGCUCCUGCUGGCAAACUAUCGAUCCAACGGUUGUAAUGGAAGGAUUGAACGGCUGUGCAGUAUCAUCCGCCUGAUCCGUAGCAACGCCCUUUCGCCCUUCGGUGGAUUAUCAUAGUUCCCGUUUGCCCUUUUACUACAUAUAUAUUUUUUGCGGGCACUAUUCUAAUACGAGUAUUUGUUUCACCCCUUCUUUCCAACUUUGCCCAUUUUACUAAAAAAAAAUUGCGGGCACUAUUCUAGUACGAGUAUUUGUUUCACCGCUUCUUUCCAACUUUGCAGCUAAUUUUCCACGACAAAUUAUAAAAUAAUCACAGCACAACACAAUUCAGCAACAGUUCCGAGUUUUAUAGGGCGAGCGGACCAAGCUCUCGUCCAGCUCCUCCCGUGCUAGCCACUCUGGCUACCGCGGCCACCUCCCUGAACUCACCGGC